AGUGUUCAUUCUGCCUGAAAAUCAAUUACAGUAGAAUCCCGAUUAUCCGCGGAAUAGUCGGGCUAGAUCACCACGUAUAACGAAAAUCGCGGAUAACGCAAUAAAGGGCUAAAAGUGAGGUGCAAGCAUUGAAAAAAGAUAUUUUUAGCAUGAAAACCAUGUUUUAUCAAUACAGAAAAUAUUGAACUAUCCAUCUGUAUGGUCGUGUACAUCAGUGAUCAGAUAAUGUGAAAGCCAUGACCAAAACAAAAGAGCAUGAGUCUACCACUCACUGACAAAUUUCGGGAAGGUUUAUAGAUUUACUAAGGAACUCGUAGUCGCGGAUCAUCCGCUCGCGGAAAAUCGAGGUUCUACUGUAUUAUCUCUUACUCUUACCUAAACUUGUAAACAAAGAUUAAUUCGCGUUGACAAAUGGAACAUACAACUGAUAGUCUUUGGCAAAUUUAUCUAUCUAUUACAUAUCAUUGCAAGCAGAAGAGAAUCCGCUGCAAGUCAAUUCCAACCUACGAACACUAUUCGAAAACUUGAUUCCCCUUCAGCGUCAGCGCCAGAAGAAAAUACGAAAGGUGAAUUUUGGAUUGAUAUUUUUCGGAGAAGGAGCUUGCAAGAAGUUGAUUAGAGACUACAGUUUCGGACUCAACAUGUUUCUCGGCCGUUAGCGGAGCCCGUAGACCAUGACAAACAAGUUGGCAAACACAUGUGUUACAAUCGGUUCGAAAACAUACCGCCGUCUAGCUAUUCGGUGAAACCGGCUGAGAUUCCUGAUUAUUAUAAUUAUAUCAAAUACCCGAUGGAUUUGAAAACGAUGGGGGAAGGACUGAAAAAUAGGCGAGCUUGACAGUAAAAAAUUGUCUAUAUUUUUCCAUUCAUUGCCGCUUAAUACUCAUUCUAGAUAUUACGAAGCAUGAAGAUUGUUCGUGGCAGAUAUUGCGCGUAUUUUCUGAACUGUCGAUCACCAGAAUCUGAAUAUUAUCGGUGCGGGAACACGCGUUACUAUCACACCAAGAUGAUAGAGAUCUGCCUUUGGGAUAAAUGAUGUUGGCUACUCCCAUCCGUGGCUCCGAUGGCUACACCUACCGAUUCAUGUGCAAGCUGAUGCAAAAGACCUGCGAACUUCGUGUUGUUUUGAUAUUGCCGAGGAACUGCUAAGACAUCUAAUUGUGAAAAGAUUCUUACAUACUAUGUUUGUGGAUCGAACAACAAACUCUACCGGAACGAGUGCCACAUGAGGAAAGAGAAUUGUGGUUAGCGCAUGUUCGUAGUGCCGAUGCAGUAUUGUCCGGCCACAU
Long non-coding RNA from Toxorhynchites rutilus septentrionalis, 1289 nucleotides. RefSeq lists it as uncharacterized. The transcript is spliced from 4 exons. The record is from RefSeq and is a predicted model, not a curated record. Lineage: Eukaryota; Metazoa; Arthropoda; Insecta; Diptera; Culicidae.